RNAcentral lists this long non-coding RNA (2124 nucleotides) under Homo sapiens (human). RNAcentral's name for it is "non-protein coding lnc-TERT-3:1". Lineage: Eukaryota; Metazoa; Chordata; Mammalia; Primates; Hominidae. The record is from RNAcentral.
UUCCCACAUAAGAUGCCCCAUCUUUCAAAUCAUCUGGAAGAGACGACAUUUUAGCCGGCACAAGAGAGGCUACGCUGCAGGAACAAACAUCCCCCAACUGUCCAUGACAAUGUUCUAUGGGCCAGGGAUCCUCCAGGCAGCUGCACCUCCAGAGCACCUGCAGAGUCCACAGCUGCUGAAGCUGGCGGGGGAGAGCUGGGGACCCAGUAUGGGCCACCCCUGCCCACAGUCUGCCGGCCAAAGCCAUUCCAACAUCCAAGCACCUGCUCCUUCAAGGGGACAAGGAGGCACAGCACCCUCAAGGCUUGAGGAGGAGAGCCUGAAAGCAUGGUCAGAGGUACCCACGUGGCCAGGAUGGACGGCCAGGGGCCAGGCACACCGAGGACCGGCCGCAGCCGCCCCAGCCCCACACAGGCCCAGCACUGCAUUUGGACAUGCUUUCUGGCUUCUUUCUCUCCUGGGGGACGGCCGCCUCCUCCCAGCCACUGUGCCACCCCCAGCCCCCACCCAGCCUGCUGGCAGAGGCCUCAGCUCCCAGCCAGGACCUCUCAGUGCUGAGCAACAGAGGCCUCCGGCUGUGCCUUCAGCCCAGUGUGGUGGGUGGACCCUCAGGUCUGCAGAGGACUUCUCAGGCACAGCAGACUGGUAAUGACCUGGCUGCUCAGCCGGGCCCUCACUGAAGGGCAGCAUUUGGAAGCCACCAGGCCAGCAGGGGUCCCAGCGUGCCCUGGCCUUGGCUUUUCGGGGCCCUGGGGCAUCUCACAGGGACCAAGCCCUCAGGAGACACACACGUGGGAAUCAUCGCUCAGGUCCUCGCUCCCCUGCAGGGAGGAAGAAUGACCUCCCAUUGGGUAGGGUGGUGGGGAGGGGGCCCACCUCGGAGGCACCGCCCUUUCAUAGCCUCUGAGCCUUUUCAGGAGAUGGAAGCAGCAGGAAGCCAGGCUUGGUCCUCCUGUGCCACCCCCACCAUCUGCUCACAGCCAGCCAAGGCGGGGCUGCCGUCCCCAGCACAGGGUCAAGCGCCCCAACAAGGACUGGACCUGCUGCGUCCUGGACUCCACAGCCCUCCCACCCAUCCCUGCCUGAGAAUUAUCAGUGGAGGCUCAUCCCCAAGGCCCACGUCACCCCAGCGGGGCCACAGGGCUCCUGCAUCUGCCCUGGAGGAGCUGCCAGCUGGAGCAUGGCGGUCAAACCUGAGGUGUGGCUGGAGCUAUCACAGCGAAGUACAGGUCUCUCCUGAGGAGGCCCAAGGCCCUGAUUCCAUCCCUUCUGGAAACUUCCAGGUGCAGCAAGAUGAGUGUGAGGCCGGGCUGGGCCCAGGAGAGAAAAGCAGGAGGGGGUGGGGGUGCCCACAUCCUGGGGCAGCCACCAGGACAGGGCAGAGACAUCCUGAAAGCAUGGACGCCCCCCAUGCCCAGCCAGAGAAAGGUGCCAGGGAUGCUGAUGGCUCAUUGGUGGUGCCUCUCACAUCCCUCAGCACCCGGCAUUGGGCAGCAGCCAAGAGGGCAGCCAUGGGGGGCCUCGUGAUCACGGAUCAGUAACCUUUGUUCUGAACGGGGUGGUUUGUUUUCAUGGAGGAGCCGAGUUUGUAAGGCCCAAGUUAUUGAGCAGCAGCUUCCUAAGUCACGAGACCCUGAGGCCUCCCACCUCCCCAAGGCCUGGAGCUAAAUCCGCAGGGUCAGCUCCACCUCCGACAUUCCUCCUGGUCACCUUCACCCCUGCCCUUGUCUCUACCUUUGCUUUCCAGGGAAGGGGAAGCAGAGUGUCCACCCACCAGGGCAGGAGGCCGGGGGGCAGGGGAGACAGACAGCAAGACACAGAGGCAGAGAGACAGGGAGACAGACAGAGAGGCAGAGAGAAACAGAGACAGAGAGACAGGGACACAGAGAGGCAGAGAGAAACAGAGACAGAGAGGCAGAGAGAGAUAGAGACAGAGUCCUGCACGGAAGCCCUGGUCCCAUCCAUGGAACCCUUCUGCUCUAUGGUGCACAGCUGGGAAAAGUGAAGGGACACCCCUAGUUAUUGUAGUUAUUGUCAGAGAAAUAACCAUAGUGUAAAUGUGUGUUUUUGUAACUUUUGUGAUUAUAAAAUACAGUUUUGUAACAUAUUUGGAAAAUGCAGAAC